Non-coding RNA from Biomphalaria pfeifferi, 1419 nucleotides. The record is from the annotation of a GenBank genome assembly. Lineage: Eukaryota; Metazoa; Mollusca; Gastropoda; Planorbidae.
CUUUUUUUUUUUUUUUUUUUUUUUAAACUACUUGCGUCUUCCAAAAAAAAAACUUGUGUUUCAAUGUUGCCACGACUCAGACCCUCAGUUCUUCCUUGACUCAAUCUGAUUUGUGCUUCAUAACUUUGCCGAAAAAAUUCAGAGCUAAGGUGUUGAUUAUUACAGUGGAAUGUCCACCAUAAGGAUUUGAUUUUUUUAGUAACUUGACGAUUCCACUUAACAUUGUCAGGCUAUUCAACUGUUUGAUUGUUUGUAGCUGGAUACACAAUACUUGUGAAUGAUUUUAUUCAGUAUAGAGUUUUACCUUGUAAAAUAACCGCAGUGUUGUUUUCAAUAGAAAAAUAUAAUAUGUUAUUUUAGAAGGAGAUUAAAAAAUAUAAUUUUUUAACAUCCCUUAAUGUAGUAUUUGUGAAUUAAGAUGUGAUAUGGUGUAAUGAGACGUCAGUGUCUGGUGUUUUGUAUGCUGUAUUUACUAAAUCUAUAUUUGGAGUUUGUAGCUCCUAACUCUGGGCCUAUGCAAUAUGUUGUCUCCCCUGAUAACCUUCACCUAUGCGUGUGCUGUAUAACAGGAGAGACAGAAAAUAACUUGCACAGCGUAAGGGUUCUUCCUGUUUUUAGAAAUCAUGGACAACUCUGUGUCAGUCAGCUGAAGAAGAAAGCAGCAAGACUUAUACUAUUGACAAGAAAGUUCCCAACUGAAUUGUCGAGUACUGUGUGCCCUGGUGAAUGGUGAUGCAGUAAAGGUCUCUGUAUGAGACUGCGGCCACGUGGGACAGUGGCAUAUCUCAUCAUGUAGUCCAAAUAAAAUGUUGACAAUUGUGUUGUGACAUGAAUAGAAUUUAAAUUCAGCUUGAGGUAGUGUCUUCUUCAUCCCGUCUGGUGUGACUAAUGACUUGCCUGUGUCCGCUUAGUCAAAAGGUCAGACGCUCACUGAGAAAAACUGUAGAAAUGAAUGCCCUUUUUUAAGACAUCCUGACCAGGCAAGACAAACCUAUUUAUAGACAAACAAUAUAAACCCAUCAAUAAGAAAGUGUAUUUUCAUAACAGCAAGAAAGAUAACAGUGAAACAAACUACAUUUUAAUUCAUCUUUCCAACUAGCAGCCAACACAGAAACAUAACAUCCUGUCUAGAUUUGUAUAGUUUCCAAGUUUCUCCCCACUCAAAACUAAAUGAUUUAUUUACAAGCAUUUUUGAGAUUGUUAAAAACAAUAUAUAUGAAAAACUAAUGCAGUUUUAUUUUGUGUAUACUAUUGAAAACGAAACAAAAAAAAAGUAUAUCCUAUGGUGUAAGUCACUAUAUUCUAACUCCUCUAUAUCAGACUUCUAUAUACUGUAUUCAGUCUACACAGUAGUCAGAAUGUUGAGUAUCUUAGUUUCGAUUGUAUAUAAUUAUUUGAACUUAAUUUAGUUGUUUUUUU